Molecule: long non-coding RNA, 587 nt
Organism: Solanum tuberosum (potato)
Lineage: Eukaryota; Viridiplantae; Streptophyta; Magnoliopsida; Solanales; Solanaceae
Exons: 4
Source: RefSeq, a predicted model, not a curated record
CCUAAUGUUGAUCCUUCCGUUGUCAGCUCCUAACGGAUAGUCAAUUCAAAUCACCCCUCUUUUCCCGCAUUUACUUGAAGUUAACAGCUUUCUUCUUCGUUUUCUUGAAGACGUUUUAUAUUAGAAGGAGGAGAAGACGACGACCCAGAAAAGGCGUUCAUCUGUGGCGAAGAGACAAGCAAUGGCGGCUAAUGCAUCCGGGUUGGAGAAUAAUCAGACCGGAAAAUUGAAUGCUGGAGCGGCUAAGAAACGACCGUAAUGCAGUUUGCUGUUCUGCCAUCAUCCUCCUCUGUCAGACGAAGCAGCAAACCUGUUUCUAUUCAAAGAAGUGAUGCAGUUGUGCCUAAGAUCACUGCCAUCUAUGUCAACUUCUGACACAGUGAGAAGUCUGGAGGUCGAAUGCAUAGAUGACCAUGAAUUGGCUGCAGUUCAUUCCAUCUAGAAAAAGAUAUAUGAUGUACUUGUGGACUUGGAAUAUGGGGAUAAGAUUGUCAACAUUGAUACAAACACUUGCGAGGAUCUGAGGCAAAGAAAAGGCCUUCCCACAGAUUCCAUCAAUCGGGCAUGCGCGCUAUAUGAUUUGACUU